CGUGCUUAAUACAUGCAAGUCAACUUGACUUUAGAUAGCAAUAUCGAAAAGUAGGGUGGCGCACGGGUGCGUAACGCGUAGGUAAUCUGCCCUGAGGUCUGACAUAACCCGUCGAAAGGCGGGCUAACAUCAGAUGAUAUAUAAUCACGACAUCGUGGAAAUAUCAAAUCUUCGGAGCCUUGGGAUGAGCCUGCGUCUGAUUAGGUAGUUGGCGGAGUAAUAGCCCACCAAGCCUACGAUCAGUAGCUGGUCUGAGAGGAUGAUCAGCCACACUGGAACUGAGACACGGUCCAGACUCCUACGGGAGGCAGCAGUAAGGAAUAUUGCUCAAUGGGGGAAACCCUGAAGCAGCAACGCCGCGUGAAGGAUGAAAUACUUUGUAUGUAAACUUCUGUAAGAUGGGAAAAUAUUCUCCUCGGGAGAAUUGAUUGUACCAUCAGAGUAAGCCCCGGCUAACUACGUG
RNAcentral lists this ribosomal RNA (463 nucleotides) under uncultured bacterium. RNAcentral's name for it is "bacterial SSU rRNA". It matches the Rfam family "Bacterial small subunit ribosomal RNA", at positions 43 to 507 of the family's 1533-position model. The record is from RNAcentral.